Molecule: long non-coding RNA, 1126 nt
Filed under: Panax ginseng (ginseng)
Lineage: Eukaryota; Viridiplantae; Streptophyta; Magnoliopsida; Apiales; Araliaceae
Description: long non-coding RNA (PGIN_LNC010350)
Source: RNAcentral
CUCUUAUGUGCUAGUAGUUUUUUAUCAAUCUCAGUAUUUCCCUCUCUCUUCAUCUUCACAAAUUUUAACUAAUUAAUUAAGUUAAGAAUCAAUGGCAACAAAUGUGAGUACUUCUUUGAUGAACGGCGGCGGCCGUUGCCGGAGUUUUUCUAAGAGUUACGACGUUGUUGGCAGACGUCGGCCAAUAUCGAGAAGGGGACAAGUAAAGGUCGGAAUUGUCUUGGGCCUUGCUCAAAUUUUGGCUUCAGCCUUUUCUCCUACUACUCGUACCAAAUCUGCUGCUUUUGCACAACCAUUUUGAUUAUUUUUUUUUGUUUAUUCUUUUUUAUAAAAAAUUUGGGAGAGAGAUUAGUUGAAGAAAGUAGCUAGUAGCUAGAGCCUAGAGACUUCUGAAUGUGUUGUAUAAAUAUUUUGUUAAGUAUAAUUAAGCCCUAUGAUCAUUUAUUUGUAUCUAAGAGGCUAGUUGUUAUGAAUGUGUUGUAUAAAUAUUAUAGUAUAAUUUAUUUGUAUCUAGAGGCUAGUUGUUAAGUAUAAUUAAGCCCUAUGAUCAUUUAGUUGUAUUUAAGAGGCUAGUUGUUAUGAAUAUUUUGUAUAAAUAUAUCUUUUCAUGUAAUUUCUAUCAAAGUCUAUUCGACACUAUAAAUUGAUAACAAUAGUGUUGUUGAGAGCCCAUAUUUGCAAGUUGAGACUCGUAAAUAGGGGAUCUGUGGAAAGGACUAUUUAGAGGCCGAAUUAAAAUAUUCAUACCGAGUUAGUGUCGUUAGUAUGAAACCGCUAUAGCUGGGUGGGUAGAUGGGCUGACGAGGACGUCAGCUUUGCAAGGUGUGUGUAUUGAUACGAACUCUAUAUUAGACCGUAGGGAAUUAAUAAUCUCACAUCGGUUUACACAGCAAAAGAACAAUAUUAUCCAACCUGUUGACAACGUCCACCUUUUCCUCAAGGUGUAAUUUAAGAGUAUUUAAGAUCUUAUAUUUUGUAGUGUUUUUAAGUCCAUAACUGCAUUGCAGACACUUGCAUCAAAUUUAUCUCCCUUGAAUAGCGUCAAGAAUUGAAUGAUCUGCCUUAUUGCUAUAAAUUGAAUUUUGUUCACGUCCAAUGUAGAUACAUGUAUCACUUUAGAGCUCCU